AAUCUCAAAGGAAGGGCCCGGCUAACUUCGUGCCAGCAGCCGCGGUAAUACGAAGGGCCCGAGCGUUAUUCGGAAUCACUUGGCUUAAAGCGUACGUAGGCUGGUAUAUAGGCGUCUUGUGAAAUCCCUCGGCUCAACCGAGGAACUGCAAGGCGAACCAUAUAUCUUGAGACAGACAGAGGUCGUCGGAACGAUUGGUGGAGUGGUGAAAUGCGUUGAUAUCAAUCGGAACGCCGAAGGAGAAGUCAGGCGACUGGGUCUGUUCUGACGCUGAGGUACGAAAGCGUGGGUAGCGAACGGGAUUAGAUACCCCGGUAGUCCACGCCGUAAACAAUGUGCACUAGGUCGAGGGCGUUCUGACGCGACUCUCGGCCGAAGCGAAAGUGUUAAGUGCACCGCCUGGGGAGUACGGUCGCAAGGCUAAAACUCAAAGGAAUUGACGGGGGCUCACACAAGCGGUGGAGCAUGUGGCUUAAUUCGAAGCAACGCGAAGAACCUUAUCCUAGGUUUGACAUACACGGAUUAGCUAUAAGAAACUAUAGUGACACCUUCGGGUGGAACGUGAACAGGUGCUGCAUGGCUGUCGUCAGCUCGUGCUGUGAAGUGUCGGGUUAAGUCCCUUAACGAGCGCAACCCUUAUCGUUAGUUGCUAACAGGUAAUGCUGAGGACUCUAGCGAGACUGCCGGUGUUAAACCGGAGGAAGGUGGGGAUGACGUCAAGUCCGCAUGGCCUCUAUGCCUAGGGCUGCACACGUGCUACAAUGGCAAGUACAGAACGAUGCAAUACCGCGAGGUGGAGCAAAUCGCUAAAGCUUGCCCCAGUUCGGAUUGCAGGCUGCAACUCGCCUGCAUGAAGUUGGAAUCGCUAGUAAUCGCGGAUCAGCACGCCGCGGUGAAUACGUUCCUGAGCCUUGUACACACCGCCCGUCAAGUCAUGGAAGCUGGUAGUGCCUUAAGUCGCCGA
Molecule: ribosomal RNA, 964 nt
Filed under: uncultured prokaryote
Description: bacterial SSU rRNA
Rfam family: Bacterial small subunit ribosomal RNA
Source: RNAcentral